AGCUCCAAUAGCAUAUACCAAUUCUGUUGCUGUUAAAAAGCUCGUAGUUUGAUUGCUUCCAAGGGUGGGGUCUGUCUCAUGGACAUGUACCCUGUCCCGAGGAUAUAUCAGCUGGUCUUUCCUUGGUGCCUUUCACAGGGUGUCUUGGGUGGCUAGCACGUUUACUUUGAAAAAAUUAGAGUGCUCAAAACAGGCGUUACUGCCUGAAUAGUGGUGCAUGGAAUAAUGGAAUAGGAUCUCGGUUCUAUUUUGUUGGUUUUAGGAGCGCGAGAUAAUGAUUAAGAGGGACGGACGGGGGCAUUCGUAUUGUGGCGUUAGAGGUGAAAUUCUUGGAUCGCCGCAAGACGAACAAUUGCGAAAGCAUUUGCCAAGAAUGUUUUCAUUAAUCAAGAACGAAAGU
Molecule: ribosomal RNA, 400 nt
Filed under: phytoplankton environmental sample
Lineage: Eukaryota
Description: partial small subunit ribosomal RNA
Rfam family: Eukaryotic small subunit ribosomal RNA
Source: RNAcentral